Molecule: ribosomal RNA, 525 nt
Filed under: Mycobacterium marinum
Lineage: Bacteria; Bacillati; Actinomycetota; Actinomycetes; Mycobacteriales; Mycobacteriaceae
Description: bacterial SSU rRNA
Rfam family: Bacterial small subunit ribosomal RNA
Source: RNAcentral
CACAUGCAAUUCCAACGGAAAGGUCUCUUCGGAGAUACUCGAGUGGCGAACGGGUGAGUAACACGUGGGCGAUCUGCCCUGCACUUCGGGAUAAGCCUGGGAAACUGGGUCUAAUACCGGAUAGGACCACGGGAUUCAUGUCCUGUGGUGGAAAGCUUUUGCGGUGUGGGAUGGGCCCGCGGCCUAUCAGCUUGUUGGUGGGGUAACGGCCUACCAAGGCGACGACGGGUAGCCGGCCUGAGAGGGUGUCCGGCCACACUGGGACUGAGAUACGGCCCAGACUCCUACGGGAGGCAGCAGUGGGGAAUAUUGCACAAUGGGCGCAAGCCUGAUGCAGCGACGCCGCGUGGGGGAUGACGGCCUUCGGGUUGUAAACCUCUUUCACCAUCGACGAAGGUUCGGGUUUUCUCGGAUUGACGGUAGGUGGAGAAGAAGCACCGGCCAACUACGUGCCAGCAGCCGCGGUAAUACGUAGGGUGCGAGCGUUGUCCGGAAUUACUGGGCGUAAAGAGCUCGUAGGUGGUU